Molecule: ribosomal RNA, 162 nt
Filed under: Triticum aestivum (bread wheat)
Lineage: Eukaryota; Viridiplantae; Streptophyta; Magnoliopsida; Poales; Poaceae
Description: partial small subunit ribosomal RNA
Source: RNAcentral
AUGCUCCCACUGAACCUUGUAAAACCGUAUCUCUUUGCUGCGAGUGACCCUUUCUGUCUGAUCCAAUAUUCUAAUUGGAUUUUCCUCAUAAGUCAAAACCUUAGUCAAUUCUAUCUCUGCCAUAUCAGUCCUUUUCUCCGGUGGCGAGAUACAUCUCCUUAG